UAAGUGAUGGCGACCGGCGCACGGGUGAGUAACACGUAUCCAACCUGCCUCAUACUCGGGGAUAGCCUUUCGAAAGAAAGAUUAAUAUCCGAUAGCAUAUAUUUCCCGCAUGGGUUUUAUAUUAAAGAAAUUCGGUAUGAGAUGGGGAUGCGUUCCAUUAGUUUGUUGGGGGGGUAACGGCCCACCAAGACUACGAUGGAUAGGGGUUCUGAGAGGAAGGUCCCCCACAUUGGAACUGAGACACGGUCCAA
This 251-nucleotide ribosomal RNA is filed under the name uncultured bacterium. RNAcentral's name for it is "partial 16S ribosomal RNA". It matches the Rfam family "Bacterial small subunit ribosomal RNA", at positions 81 to 334 of the family's 1533-position model. The record is from RNAcentral.